AGGGAAGCGCCGCUGCCGCCACUGCCGCCGCUGCCGCCACUGCCGCCGCCUCACCCGCGGCGACACAGACGCCGGGAGCGGCCGAGGCGAGUGACUUCUUCUGACUUGAGCUGGCAGUGUGCUUUGAGAGAUCUACCACAGGAAAUACCUGCCUGCAGUGACAGGAACAGCAAGAUGGAAUAGCUUCAUUCUGAGGUCUAGGGUAAGGGAAAGAGGAAGAUGGCUCUCCCUGCCGUAAUUGCCUUCGUGAGACGGAGAAGAGAAAGGGAGACAAGUGAAAAGAAGACGAGAAAGAGACUGCAUAACAGGCCCUCUGGUGGCUUUCAGCUUCUCAGAAAAGGAGUGUGAACUGAAAGAUCCGAAAGAACUCCAGAUGUCCAUGGGGCCAAGGAGUGCAUCAUCAUAAUUCCAGACAGGUCUUAAUGAUUCCCCAGCCAUCUCGGGAACAGUCCCCUUGACUUUCAGCUUGGAUAUAUUUAACUUUGUACAUCCUAAUGAUUGCUAUGUAUAUGUGUGUGUCACACACACAAUAUCUUAUUCUGUAUUAUGACAUAUUGUGACAGUUGUGUUAAAUUUGUUGCUUUAUAUAUUUUUCUCCACUCCUGCCUCUUCUACUCCACCCUUUCUACUCCGUGGGUGGUCCGGGGACCAGCAGCAUCAGCCUCACCUGAGAGCUUGUUAGAAAUGCAGCAUCGCAGGUCCCACUCUCAGACCUGAUGAGUCAGAAUCUGCAUUUUAACAGGAUUCCCAGGGAUUCUCCUGCAUUUGAAUCUUUGAGAAUUGAUGUUUUACAUAAUGACUGUUUCAUUUUAUUUUUUUUUUAGCCAACUGUGCUUUUAAUAAUGAGAUUAAAAUCCUUCAAAGUCAAAAUAUUGUGAAGGUAACCCUACUUUAAGAUUAGACCAGAUAUAGUGCACAAAAUUAAGGCAUUUAAACGCAUUUUCUAGUUAAAUUAUUGAAUUUAUCAUUGAUAAGCGUAUUUAAAGCUUCUUAUUUUCAAAUUCUUCUCUGAGUUUUGCGUUCUUAGCUCUCACAAACCUUGGCUCUUUCUUGUAG
RNAcentral lists this long non-coding RNA (1056 nucleotides) under Equus asinus (donkey). RNAcentral describes it as "lncRNA (ENSEASG00005028562.1)". The record is from RNAcentral. Lineage: Eukaryota; Metazoa; Chordata; Mammalia; Perissodactyla; Equidae.